GCCCGGGAUGUUAGCGGGUGGGAGGUGCGGCCGGGUUGCUACAGCCGGAGCUGGGCGGUGGCGGCGGCGGCAGCGGCGGUGGCAGCUGCUGCGGGUGCUGCCGGAGGAAUCUCGCGGAAUCAGAGGUGGUGGCGCAAUGGAGGGACUGGAAGAAAAUGGAAGUGUCCAAGUUGGAGAAUUGUUACCAUGCAAGAUUUGUGGAAGAACAUUCUUUCCAGUGGCAUUAAAAAAACAUGGACCUAUUUGCCAGAAAACUGCCACUAAAAAACGGAAGACUUUUGAUUCAAGCAGACAAAGAGCUGAAGGAACUGAUAUUCCAACAGUAAAGCCUCUUAAACCUAGGCCUGAACCACCAAAGAAACCAUCUAAUUGGAGAAGAAAACAUGAAGAAUUCAUUGCCACCAUAAGAGCAGCUAAAGGCCUCGAUCAGGCACUUAAAGAGGGUGGAAAACUUCCUCCUCCUCCUCCACCUUCUUAUGAUCCUGAUUAUAUUCAGUGUCCAUAUUGCCAAAGGAGGUUUAAUGAAAAUGCAGCUGAUAGACAUAUUAAUUUCUGUAAAGAACAGGCAGCACGUAUUAGUAACAAAGGCAAAUUUUCUACUGAUACCAAAGGAAAGGCAACUUCUCGGACACAGUAUAAGCCGCCUGCACUUAAAAAGUCAAAUUCUCCUGGAACUGCACCAUCAGGAUCUUCACGAUUACCACAACCAAGUGGCACUAGCAAAACUGUUGUAGGUGUGCCUUCAGGUAAAGCGUCCUCAGUUAGCAGCUCUUUGGGAAGCAAGCUUCAGACCUUAUCUCCCUCCCAUAAAGGGAUAGCAACUCCUCAUGUAGGAACUAACAUCAAACCUCGAAGUUCCACACCACCUAGUUUGGCACGAAAUCCUGCUUCAGGUGUGCUUACAAACAAAAGAAAAACAUAUACUGAGAGCUACAUAGCCAGGCCAGAUGGAGACUGUGUAUCUUCACUUAAUGGCGGAAACAUUAAAGGCAUGGAAGGAAAUUCAACAGGACACUUACCAAAAUUCUGCCAUGAGUGUGGGACUAAAUACCCUGUAGAAUGGGCAAAGUUCUGCUGUGAAUGUGGCAUUCGAAGAAUGGUUCUGUGAACAGAGUCCAAAAAAAAGCUAAGUCUAAAAUUUUAUGACUGUUGCUGCUUGGACAGCUAAGCACUUCCUCUAGUGAAUUUAUGCUAAAAUUAUUCAAAAUACUUUUUUCAGGAAUUUUUGAAGCAUAAUCUUUGGCUGUGUAAUGUGUGUGUGUAUAUAUUUGUGUACAUAUACUGUAUAUAAUAAAUACCUGAUGCCCCAAACUGUGCCAUUCAAGGAAAUAUUCACUCAUCUGUCAAAAUAAUUUCAAGUGGAAUCAUUAACUUAGGUGUUACUUUUCUGUUAUUGUUGUUAAAGCACAUGAAGCAUACCUCCACAAAAUCAAACACUAGUGCUCAGUCCUUCAAGCUUUAGGGAUGAUCAUUACCUUGAGCAAAAAAUCAGAACUAACAUAUUUAUUAUCGGUGCCUAUUUUCAGAUAGUAUCAUAGGAUGGGAUGCUUGAAAUUUUGGAAAUGAAGAGAAUAUUUUUAGUUACAACUAGUUAUGUGAGAUCAUUUCUGUAGAGCUUGCCAACCAUUAAUUUUAUAAAUAUUAAAAAAGAAAGGAAAAAAGCCCCACGGGUCUAGGUUGUCCUUUACUCAGUAUGUCACUAAUUUUAUAAUUUAAAGGUCUUUACUCAUUCUUUAAAAUGUAAUUAUGCAGUUUCCUUUUUAGAAACACAAGACUGAAAAAUGCAGAUGUGUCUUAUUCCAGUCAUAACUGAAUGAUUUUUUUUUACUUCUUUGUUAGUUGAAUGUAUAUUCUACUUCUAAUUGUAUCUCCAUAUUUCAUUUUUUUCAUAACCUCAUGUCUAAAGAGUUUUAUUUUACUACUUUUUUUAUUUGCAAAGUUUGAAAAUAAUAUAAAAUGCAUAAAUUUCCUUACAAAAUUCCACACAUUUAUUUCUGUGUAAUUAGAAAAAAUUAUUUUUAAUAGAUUUUAAAACAAACCACCUCACCUAAUAAAUAAUUUGGAUAGUUAAUCAUUAGCAAUUUUUAAAUUUUAAUUUCCCUUGAAGUAUAGUUAGAUGUAGUUAUGAGUAGGUCAAGAGAAUAUCUAAUUUUCCUACUUAUAUUUUCUUUUUAGUGUUUAAUGCCAAAACACCAUUCACAUCACAGUAAAAACCCCACUGAAAAUGUAUUGCUUUAAUGCAUUAGCUGACUUAUGUAAUUAAACAUUCACAAAAAUUUAAUUAUACUUUAAUUUUGGCUAAAAUGUAGCUUUUAAUCAUUGUCACUUUCAAUGUAACAGUAUUUAGCAGAUUUCUUUGAUCGCCUAUGCAGCCAUAUUCUAUAAUUUAUUAGUAAUUUCUGUUGAAUGGAAAGAGCUUUGAUCUUAUAAAGUUAUAAGCAAAUCUUUUAUAGGCAGUUUAUAGCUUCUCGUUUAUGACUGUGAUCAACUGUAAGGGUUAAUGUAGAAAUUUGUGGCUUACAAUUUUUCUGAAAUUUAUUUAUGCUUGUACUUUGUAAUUGUAUUCAUUAGUUUUUGUUUCUGUUUUUGUUUUUCAUUCAGGCAGGGUAUGUAAACUUGAGAUAAUGGGAAUUGUUAUUUUAUUUUCCUUAUGGUUUCUUUCCUGACUUUUUAUUAACUUUUUUUUUCUGGUUGUCUUCAUUCAGUCAAAUUAGUCUUUAAAAAAAGUCCAUUUAUUAGAAUAAGCUGUAAUUAAUUUAGGAGAAUAAUGUACGUAUUAGAUUUUCAUUUCUAUAAUAUGUUAUUCUGUCUUAAUUGUUAUAAAUCAUAGGAAGAACUUUAAACUUUGUUUUACCUGGAACUGAGCACUAUUUUUUUUUUAAGACCACAUAGUUUUUGCCCAAGGGGAAGGGUAGAUAAAAUGAACUUAAACAGAAGUGGCACGUGUUUGUUUCUCACAGAAUUUUGCAGUAGCAAGUAAAUGUUACAAUGUACUACAUGGAAAAUUAGUUGGUAAAAAAAAAUCAUCCAAUUCUAGAACCCAGAGAUUAUUAUAAAUAGUAAGUUGGUGAAGUAUACUUAUGAAUUAUGAAACAUGUUGUGACAAUGUGUUUAAAUGCAUUUUUAUAUUACUUACAUAUAUUAUUCUCACAUUGAUUUGUUGUGCAAUAGUUCAGUUUAUGAGAAAUUUUCCUAGAUCAUUUAGUUUAUUUUUAUUUAUUUUCACAAGUAUUUGCCAGUGUGGUAGAAUAAAAAAUGAUUAUAAGCUUAAAUUUAAAAUGUAAAAAUUGCUUAUAUAUUAUUCUGAAAGUCAUUAGCUUGAAAAAGUAAAAUUAUUAUGGUUGCUGUUGUCUCUUGUUCACAGUUUUUUAUUAUAAAUAUUGUCUUCAUUUUUGAACCUAUUCAAUAAAGAUGAAGCAAAAAAAAAAAAAAAUUCCAGUCGGUCUUUAUUAAUGUCUUAGCUUUUACCCAGACAUAGGUAGAAAGAUAAGAGCACACUGAAAUAUGAAGAAAAUAUUCAAAGUCUAAAUACAAAUUUUUUUAAAUGGCAGAAAGUAGCUUUUAAUUGGCCAUUUUUUUGUGCCAUCAGCUUUUAAAAAAAUUGCUAUUACUUUACUGAAUUGCAGUGUUUUCUGACUUCAAAGUGUUCUAAAUGUUUCAUUACAAGAUUUCUAAUGCAUAGUAAAUUCUCUUCAUGGCCAGUAAAAUAUAGCAGUUGAAAACAUUAGUGAACUUAAGAUUGAUAGAAAACGUUGCGUGUAUAUUUCGAAUUAGGUAAUGUUACAGUUAAUGGCAAAAAGUAUUGGUUUGUCAUCAAUACUUAGUAAUUUUAGACUAUCAUAUUUAAAAUUUUAAACAGGAGCUGUCUCUAGUAAAAAUAUAAUCAAAUUAGGGGCACCUGGGUGGCUCAGUCAAUUAAGCAUCCCACUUCUGCUCAGGCGUGAUCUGGCGGUUUGUGAGUUUAAGCCCUGCAUUGGGCUCUGUGCUGACAGCUCAGAGCCUGGAGUCUGCUUUGGAUUAUCUCCCUCUCUCAGUCCCUCCUCUGCUUGCACUCUGUCUCUCUCUCAGGAAAUGAAUAAAUAUAAAAAAAUUUUUUACUAUAAUUAAAUUAAACAUGUUUGAUUUGUACUCAAUGCAAUAUAUUUGCAUUGUAGGUAUAUGUAUUUUAUGUGGUGGAUAUAUUUUUAGUACUAAGAUAAUUUUUCCAACUGUGUUACUGAAUUGAGCAGUAGAAAAUCAUUAAAACCAAGUUAAUGAUAGCCACACUUAUUUUCAGAAGUUCAGAAGUUUUUUAGUUAAUUACUACUAUCAGAAUACUCAUUAUAUGGAAGUUUGCUUGGCUUAUACGUGGAUUGCUUUUUUUGCCACUAGAGGGUGCUUUUAGAUAAUUUAAUAUUACUAGCUUCCAAUUUUAUUUUAAAGGCCUCUCCGCAACAUAGAUAUAUCUAUAUCUAUCUCAUGACAUUAUGGAGGUUUAUAAAAGAUAGUUUUGAUUCUUCAUUUUGUUGUGACUUUAAUAAUUCGUAAGCUGGUUUUUUUUAAUGUUUAUUAUUUUUGAGAGAGUGAGAGACAGCAAGCAGGGAAGGGGCAGAGAGAGAGGGAGACACAGAAUCGGAAGCAGGCUCCAGGCUCUGAGCUGUCAGCACAAAGCCCCGUGCGGGGCUCGAACUCUCAGACCGUGAGAUCAUGACCUGAGCUGUAGUCGGCCACCCAACCCACUGAGCCACCCAGGCGCCCCCAUAUGCUGAUUUUUAAGAACCUUAAUCUAGCUCAUUUUAGGCACCAUUGUGGUAGUAAUUAAUAGGAAUGUUUAAUAUUUAACCCUCACAUUUUGUUAACAAUUUAUGCAUCUCAAACCUAUUACUCAAACAUUACCAGAUACUCUUUAUGCUAUUACUUUAAUAUUUCAUUUUAGUUGUACAAGAGUUACAAUCUUUUUUAAGAUAAGAAUUUGUUUUAAUCAUCUAGCCUAACAACGAUAUUUAAUAUAGGUGAGUGACAUCUACUUAUUUUAUUUUUUGUUUUGUUUUUUCUUUUUAAAUGUUUAUUUUGAGAGGGAGAGAGAGAGAAAGAGUGGAGAGGGGCAGAAAGGGAGAGAGGAAGAGAACCCCAAGCAGGCUCUGUACCCUCAGCAUGCAGCCAACACAGGGCUUGAUCUCACAAACCACAAGAUCAUGACCUAAGCUGAAAUCAAGAGUCAGAUGCUUAACAAACUGAGCCACCCAAGCGCUCCUAAGUUUUUAAUUCCAGUUAGUUAACAUACCCUGUUAUAUUAGUUUCAGGUGUACAAUAUAGUGAUUCAACAAUCUAUCCAUACAUACAUCACACAGUGCUCAUCACUGACAAGUGCACUCCUUAAUCCCCAUCACCUAUUUUACCCAUUUCCCCCAUCCCUCCCCUCUCGUAACCUCAAUUUCUCUGGUAGUGACUAGGGAUGCUGCCAAUCAUUCAGCCAUGCACCACACACCCACCCCCACAACAAAGAAUGCUAAUUUCUUGGUUUGGAUAAAUGUACCAUGCUUAUGUAAGAUGUUAGCGUUAGAGGAAACUUGGUGAAAGGUAUACAGGAACACUCUGUACUAUCUUUGCAACUCCUAUAUAUCUGAAAUUAUUUCAAAAUAUAUAAAUAAAGCUUAUACUUGAGGGCAACAUACAGCUUCAGAGUCAACAAUCGAUAUUUUCAUAAUUUAUUUCUAUUACAGUGUACUAUGUACUAUAGCUGAAGUAUUGUUUUGAUUUUUUGCAAAUUACUUGAAUCAAAGAAAUUUAUAUUGCCAGUGAUAUAUGUUGACAUUUUUGAGACCAAUAACAUACUUUCAAAUGUCUUCAAAGGGGUCUUUAAUCAUCUUACCUAAAAUACCUCCUCUGUUGAUCAAUUUUUUUUUUCUUUCUUUGUUUUCCAGAGAGUUUGUUUUCUGUAAUAAUUUUGCUCAUUUGUUGAGUGUUGCCUUUUUUGGAAUAUAUGCUCCCUGAAGGCAGGGGCUUUCUUGUACCUCUAGGUCCAGAACUGUCACAUUAGAGAUGGAUACUUAAUAAAUAUUUGUUGAGUGAAUUAUCUGUAUCUGUGUUGCAUCUUCCUGUUAAGUGGUAUUCAAAGGAUGGGGCUUCUUUAAACCCACUGGGCUGUGAAGAUAUAAGUCCCAACCAUAGUAUUUAACUUAACCUUGAUGAAAGUAACUCCUCUUUCUUAAGUAUAAAGAUGUAUUUGUCUACAUAUUUAAACUUUUUCACAGCUAAAGACAAAUCCUUUCCUUUCUGCUGGGAAUGCUGGGUAAGGAGAUGAUAAGGUAGAUAGAUAUCUGUGAUUUUAUACUUUCCUGUCAGAUCUUUCUGAUUUCUCCUAGAAAGCUUUUACUUCACCUGAUGAGAUGUUCUUCAAAUCAACUGCCUUUCAUUUGAUAGGAUUUGGACCAUUUCCCGAACAAUUUAUAAGAGUUCUUGUCCAAUUAAAUUCUUAGAUUCUAUUAUUUGCUCAGAAUCAAGACUGAAAGCUGUUUCACAACAAAGUUUAGAAAUGAAAAUUCCAUGGAGAUGUUGAGAACACAAAGCUGUGGAGUCCUAUUGGUUUAAAUUAAUUAUGUUCUAUGCUCCUAGCAUAUCUACCUUUAACUGAUGGUUUACCGACAAUACCAGUUCAUCAGAGUGAAGGUGUACCACACAGUUGACCAUGUUUUAUGGUGGAAGGAAGCAUAGCUUACUUGGAAAAGUCCAUCUGAAGAAAGAGCUUGGUGAAGAAUCAUUUGCUCCUGAAAGUAUGAGGGAACUGAGCUGCAAGAGGAUAAAUAAACUACCAUAGUCAUGUAAGUAUAAUACCUGUGGUUUAAGAUCAUCUGUCCUAUUAUUAGUUUAGCCACAAAUUGGGAUCUCUCUUUGUUAUAUAUUUAGUAACACUAACACAUAGCCUUUAAAUAAUACACUUAAAAGAUUAAAUAGAUUUCAAAGAAAAAUAUGAAGGAGAAUUUCUCAUAUUCAUUUUAUUGAGGGUCUAGGACAUCUUCACAAAAUACAAACUGAAAUUCAUAGGACUAAGCAGUUUUGAAAUGCAUAGAUGUGAAAAUUUAAGUGACAUUUCCUAGGACACCAAGAUUGAGCAUUCAUUAAAAAGACAAAUGCAAAAAAAACAUGAUUUUACCUCUGUAAUCCUGGGAACACAGAUGUUAUCUCCCUUCUCUAAGCUUUGUUUCCAAAUUUUCUUAGCCAGAGUCCCUCAAUGUAUUUAUAUUGCUCGUGUUCAUUUCCACUCUUCCAGUUCAGCUGGAAUUCCUAUGAUUUCCUGAGUCCCAGAGCAUGCAACUCCCCCUCCUUCUUUAAGAGAAAUAAGGGAUUUCCAUGCUCCCAUAUAUCUAUUGGUGGAAUAACAUUAUAAUAGUAACAGAAAUGUGAAAUAACGGAAAUAACCCAUCAUUGCUAUGAAUCAACUGUCUUCGUUUUCCAUGUCCCACUCUAGUUAAUAUUUACAUCAUUUUUAAGUUUUGUAUUAAGCUUUUACUUAAAUUCUAGUAUAGUUAAUAUACAGUGUUAAAUUAGUUUCAGAUGUACGAUAUAGUAAUUCAACACUUCCACACAUCACUAUGUGCUCAUCACAAGUGCACUCCUUAAUCUCCAUCACCUAUUUAACUCAUCCUCACACCCAUCUCCCCUCUGGUAACCAUGUUUCUUCUCUAUAGUUAAGAGUGUUUCUUGGUUUGCCUCUCUCUCUCUCUCUCUCUCUCUCUUUUUUUCCCUGAUGCAUAUUUGUUUUGUUUCUUAAAUUCUUUCCUGCUUUGUUGAAGAUUCGUUGACCAUAUAAUUGUGGGUCCAUUUCUGGGCUUUCUGUUCUGUUCCAUUGAUCUCUGUGUCUGUUUUUGUGCCAGUACCAUACUGUCUUUGAUGAUUACAGCUUUGUAAUACAGCUUGAAGUUUGGAACUGUGAUUUCUCUGCUUUGGUUUUCUUUUUCAAUAUUGCUUUGGCUCUUCAGGUCUCUUCUGGUUCCAUACAAAUUUUAGAAUUGUUUGUUCUAGCUCUGUGAAAAAUGCUGGUGGCAUUUUGAUAGGGAUUGCAUUCAAUGUGUAGAUUGCUUUGGGUAGUAUUGACAUUUUAACAAUAUUUGCUCUUCCAAUCCACGAGCAUGAAAUAUUUUUUCAUUUCUUUGUGUCUUCUUCAAUUUCUUUCAAAAGUGUUCUAUAGUUUUCAGAGUACAGAUCUUUUGCCUCUUUGGUUAGGCUUAUUCCUAGGUAUCUUACAGUUUGGUGCAAUUGUAAGUGGGUUCGAUUUCUUGAUUUCUCCAUCUGCUGCUUCAUUAUUGGUGUAUAGAAACGCAACAGUUCUGUAUGUUGGUCUUAUAUCUUGCAACUUUGUUUAAUUUGUGUGUCGGUUCUAGAAAUUUUGGGGUGGAGUCCUUUGGGCUUUCUACAUAGAGUUAUCAUGUCAUCUGCGAAGACCGAAUGUUUGACUUCUUCCUUGUCAAUUUCAAUGCCUUUUAUUUCUUUUUGUUGUCUGACUGCUGAGGCUAGGACUUCCAGUACUAUACUGAACAACAGUGGUGAGGGUGGACAUCUUCGCCGUGUUCCUCACCUUAUACGAAAGGCUUUCAGUUUUUCCCCACUGAAGAUGAUAUUAGCUGUGGGGCUUUCAUUUAUGGCCUUUAGGCUGCUGAGGUAUGUUCCUUCUAUCCCUACUUUCUGGAGGGUUUUUAUCAAGAAAGGAUGCUAUAUUUUGUCAAAUGCUUUUUUCUGCAUCUACUGAGAGGGUAAUAUGAUUUUUAUCCUUUCUUUUAUUAACAUAGUGUAUCAUGUUGAUUGAUUUGUGGAUAUUGAACCACCCCUGCAGUCCAGGAAUAAAUCCCACUUGAUUAUGGUGAAUCAUUCUUUUAUGAUACUGUUGGAUUUGAUUUGCUAGUGUCUUUUUGAUAAUUUUUGCAUCCAUGUGCAUCAAGGAUAUUGGUCUGAAAUUCUGUUUAGUUGGGUCUUUGUCUUGUUUUGGAAUCAAAGUAAUGCUGGCCUAAUAGAAUUAGUUUGAAAGUUUUCCUUCUAUUCCUAUUUUUUGGAACACUCCCAGAAGAAUGAGUAUUAACUCUUCUUUAAAUGUUUGGUAGAAUUCGCCUGGGAAGCCAUCUGGACCUGGACCCUUGUAGUUGGGAGAUUUUUGAUUACUGAUUGAAUUUCUUCACUGGUUAUGGGUCUGUUAAAAUUUCCUAUUUCUUCCUGAUUCAGUUUUGGUAGUUUAUAUGUUUCUAGGAAUUUGUCCAUUUCUUCCAGAUUGCCCAGUUUGUUGGCAUAUAAUUGCUUAUAUUAUUCUCUUACAAUUCUCUGUAUUUCUGCAGUGUUGUUGUGAUUUCACCUCUUCAAUUCAUGAUUUUAUUUAUUUGGGUCCUUUCUCUUUUCUUUUGUUAAGUCCAACUUGGGGGUUAUCAAUUUUGUUCACUCUUUAAAAGAACCAGUUCUGGGUUUCGUUGAUCUGUUCUUUUUUAAAAUUUCUGUAUCAUUUAUUUCUGUACUAAUUUUAUUUUAUUUUAUUUUAUUUUAUUUUAUUUUAUUUUAUUUUAUUUUAUUUCCCUUCUUCUGCUAGGUUUGGGUUUUAAUUGCUGUUCUUUAUCCGGCUCCUUUAGGUGUAAGGUUAGGUUGUGUAUUUGAGACUUUUCUUGCAUCUUAAGGAGACCUGUAUUGUUACAUACUUCAUUCUUAGACUGCCUUUGCUGCAUCCCAAAGGUUUUGGGCUGUUGUGUUUUCAUUUUCAUUUGCUUCCAUGUAUUUUUUUAAAUUUCUUCUUUGAUUUCCUGGUUAACCCAUUCAUUCUUCAGUAGGAUGUUCUGUAACCUCGUCUUUCCAAAUUUUUUCUUGUGAUUGACUUCAAGUUUCAUGGUGUUGUGGUCUUAAAAUAUGUGUGGUAUGAU
This is an RNA transcript of Acinonyx jubatus (cheetah), 9872 nucleotides long. It is a transcript of the gene named zinc finger C2HC-type containing 1A, with no coding region annotated. The transcript has 12 exons. The record is from RefSeq and is a predicted model, not a curated record. Lineage: Eukaryota; Metazoa; Chordata; Mammalia; Carnivora; Felidae.